CAUACCAUGUUGAAUAUACCGGUUCUCGUUAGAUCACCGAAGUCAAGCAUCAUUGGGCAAGGUCAGUACUUGGGUGGGUGACCACCUGGGAACACCGCGUGCCGUU
This 106-nucleotide ribosomal RNA is filed under the name Caerostris darwini. The record is from RNAcentral. Lineage: Eukaryota; Metazoa; Arthropoda; Arachnida; Araneae; Araneidae.